Molecule: ribosomal RNA, 773 nt
Filed under: uncultured bacterium
Lineage: Bacteria
Description: bacterial SSU rRNA
Rfam family: Bacterial small subunit ribosomal RNA
Source: RNAcentral
GACCCAGCGACGCCGCGUGCGGGAUGAAGGNNNUCGGGUUGUAAACCGCUUUCAGCAGGGAAGAAGCGAAAGUGACGGUACCUGCAGAAGAAGCACCGGCUAACUAUGUGCCAGCAGCCGCGGUAAUACAUAGGGUGCAAGCGUUGUCCGGAAUUAUUGGGCGUAAAGAGCUCGUAGGUGGUUCGUCACGUCGGAUGUGAAACUCUGGGGCUUAACCCCAGACCUGCAUUCGAUACGGGCGAGCUUGAGUAUGGUAGGGGAGUCUGGAAUUCCUGGUGUAGCGGUGGAAUGCGCAGAUAUCAGGAGGAACACCAAUGGCGAAGGCAGGACUCUGGGCCAUUACUGACACUGAGGAGCGAAAGCGUGGGGAGCGAACAGGAUUAGAUACCCUGGUAGUCCACGCCGUAAACGGUGGGCACUAGUUGUGGGGACCUUCCACGGUCUCUGCGACGCAGCUAACGCAUUAAGUGCCCCGCCUGGGGAGUACGAUCGCAAGAUUAAAACUCAAAGGAAUUGACGGGGCCCCGCACAAGCAGCGGAGCAUGCGGCUUAAUUCGACGCAACGCGAAGAACCUUACCAAGGCUUGACAUAUACAGGAAUAUGGCAGAGAUGUCAUAGCCGCAAGGUCUGUAUACAGGUGGUGCAUGGUUGUCGUCAGCUCGUGUCGCGAGAUGUUGGGUUAAGUCCCGCAACGAGCGCAACCCUCGUUCUGUGUUGCCAGCAUUAAGUUGGGGACUCACAGGAGACUGCCGGGGUUAACUCGGAGGAAGGU